GCUGUGGUGGCCAAGAGGUUAAGAUGUUGGAGUUGAAAUCCAGUAGGGUUUCCCUGCACAGGUUCAAAUCCUGUUCACAGCA
This is a non-coding RNA of Gopherus evgoodei (Goodes thornscrub tortoise), 82 nucleotides long. The record is from the annotation of a RefSeq genome assembly. Lineage: Eukaryota; Metazoa; Chordata; Testudines; Testudinidae.